GCAAACUUCGGCGGAGACAUCGCCGGGCGCGGGGCGGGACCGGGGCGGGGGCAGAGCCGGGGGCGGGGGGGGAGGGCGGCCCCGCGGGGAGCCGCUGCCGGGCCCCUGCGGGCGGAGCGGGGUGCGGGGAUGUCCCGGAGGCUGUACCGGGGGUGGAGGGAUGCGGGGCUGCAUCGGGCGGUGCUGCGGCGGAUGUCCCACGGGGUUGAGUGGGAUCCGGAGGCUGUUCCGGGGAAUUGAAGGGUGCCCGGGGGCUAGCGGGAUGCGGGGUUGUACCGGGGGGUGCCCUGAAGGCUGUCCCGGAGAUUAAGGGGUACCCAUAGGCUCUCCCGGGGGAUAGAUGCCCCAGGGCUGUUUUUGGGCAUAGAGGGGUGCGGAGCUGUCCUGGGGGGUGCGGAGAUGCCCCGGAGGUGUUCCAGGGGAUAGAGGGAUGCGGGGCUAUACCAGGGGAUGUCCCAGAGGCGGUCCCGGGGGCCAGAAGGAUGCGAGGAUAUCCGGAGGGUGCCCCGGAGGGUGUUCGGGGGGUUAGAGGGGUGCGGGGCUGUCCCCUCGGGCAGAGGGGAGAUCUCGGCUCUCUACAGCUUCUCUCUCGAUGCUGACUGACUUUCCAGGCUCACUGGGCAGCCACACUCCACUGGACUUCUCUGUAAAACCUGUGCAGGGUGAUGAAACCACGGUGUCCAUCUGACCACCCUUUGUCCACCUUUCUGUCCAUCCACCCGGAGUUUUGAACCACCCUCCAUCCCUCUGAUGGAUUUCCAAAUCCAUACCCACCCCAGCUGCAACGCUGCUAGAUCACUUCAUCUAACAUUGGUGAGUGUAAUUCCAGCUCGGUGUGUUUGGUGACUUCAAGAUACUGUAGCGAUGCAGGUAUUUCAGUGCUUCAACAUGUAAGUAGAUGCCUGGUGUGGUUUACAAAAGGCUGUAAGCAGGUUAGGCCCCUAACACCUCUAGGCAACUACUUACAUCAUUAGGAGCCUAAAUGCCUUUAUAAAUCUGUGCUCUGAUCCGCAGCUCAUUGAAGGCAAUGAAAAGACUUUGCUGACAUCAAUGGGCUUUGGAGUGGGCCCUGUAGAAGGAGCAUGAUCAAUGCAAAGUGCUUUGACUUCUUUAUGCUGCUUAUUACGAUAGUUUUUUCCUAGACACUUAGAACAAUGCUGCAUUUUCUGUUUGAAUAAAUGGUCAUUUCAAGCAGAGAAAACAAGAAAAGAGAAGCGAAAUCAGUGUGAAAGGGUGCAGAGGGAUGAUGUGUGUGGAACUGCUGUGAUCGUAUCACAGAACUCACGUUUGCUGCCUUCUUUUCCUGGAAAUACUGAACCUGACUCAUCGUUUCUGCCUGCUGGGGCUGAAGGCACCGGUGGCUCCAGCAGCCAGGAACAACUCUCCAGAAGGAAGGUGUCUUACCUGGGAGAAAGGGCAAUAAAACAGUGAAUAGAUUCAUCCCUCUGUGCCCUGUAUUGCUGAGGACUUUGCCGGUACAGCUGCAAACAUGAGAUUCCAUGAGCAGGCUGGUUUUGUCCUUAUUUUUAGUGCUUGUUCCCCCCGAGGAAUGUUCUGCUGCACAAGUCAUUCCUGGUGCUACUUCUGAGAGUGAGUGGGGCUCUUCUCCCAGCAUGGUAGUGCCAAAAUCCCCCUCCACCACCAGCAGCAGCCCAUUAGAAUCAUAGAAUAGAAUCAUAGAAUGGUUUGGGUUGGAAAGGACCUGAAGAUCAUCUGAAGAUCAUCCUGCCACGGGCAGGGACACUUUCCACUAGAGCAGGUUGCUCCAAGCCCCGUCCAACCUGGCCUUGAACACUGCCAGGGAUGGGGCAGCCGGCGCCUCAGCACCCUCACAGGGAAGAACUUCCUUGUUUCUAACCUAAAUAUCCCGUUUAAGUUUGAACAUAAACAAAGCUUUCUAUUCCAAA
Long non-coding RNA from Strigops habroptila (Kakapo), 1907 nucleotides. RefSeq lists it as uncharacterized. NCBI's taxonomy places the organism in Eukaryota, Metazoa, Chordata, Aves, Psittaciformes, Psittacidae. The transcript has 4 exons. The record is from RefSeq and is a predicted model, not a curated record.